Molecule: long non-coding RNA, 1959 nt
Organism: Trematomus bernacchii (emerald rockcod)
Lineage: Eukaryota; Metazoa; Chordata; Actinopteri; Perciformes; Nototheniidae
Exons: 14
Source: RefSeq, a predicted model, not a curated record
GCGUCUGAGCCUGUGAACAGUGACAGUGGCCUGCUGUCGUUAAGCUGUCAUAAGGCAUUGACGAGUAUGAGUUUCUGAGCAAGCUAGAACAACAAAGUCAAAGCCAUCCAAAGUUUUUGUGGAUAGCUUUUGUUGACUGAGUAUCUUGUCUUUUAGGACAACGCAUUGAGGAAAUCCUGAGGUCCAACUGGUGGUUCUGAAGAGUGAGGAGAUCCAGAAAGCACUUCGUACACCUAGGACACCGCAUUGAGGAAAUCCCGAGGUCCAACUGGUGGUUCUGAAGAGUGAGGAGAUCCAGAAAGCACUUCGUACACCUAGGAACAACAUCAACUGCUGAGUGCUGAAGAAGAGUCCUCUGAAGAACUUGAGGAUAUUGCUCAAACUGAACAAUCGUGCCAGGCAGCUGUUUAUUUCAGCCUGCCCAUGCACACGAUCAUCAACACGAAUCUGAGAUUUGGACAAGCACUAUGUACACCUAGGAACUGCAGAGUGCUGAAGAAGAAUCCCUAAAGAACUUGAGGAUAAUGCUAAACCUUUACACCAGGAAUCUGAAAAGUGAGGAGAUCCAGAAGGCACUUCCUACACAAACGACACCGCAUUGAGGAAAUCCCGAGGUCCAACUGGUGGUUCUGAAGAGUGAGGAGAUCCAGAAAGCACUUUGUACACCUAGGAACAACAUCAACUGCAGAGUGCUGAAGAAGAAUCCUCUGAAGAACUUGAGGUUAUUGCUCAAACUGAACAAUCGUGCCAGGCAGCUGUUUAUUUCAGCCUGCUGUUUAUUUCAGCCUGCCCAUGCGCACGAUCAUCAACACGAAUCUGAGAUUUGGACAAGCACUAUGUACACCUAGGAACAACGUCAACUGCCGAGUGCUGAAGAAGAGUCCUCUGAAGAACUUGAGGUUAUUGCUCAAACUGAACAAUCGUGCCAGGCAGAUGUUUAUUUCAGCCUGCCCAUGCACACGAUCAUCAACACGAAUCUGAGAUUUGGACAAGCACUAUGUACACCUAGGAAAUGUAUCAACUGCAGAGUGCUGAAGAAGAGUCCUCUGAAGAACUUGAGGAUAUUGAACAAUCGUGCCUGGCAGCUGUUUAUUUCAGCCUGCCCAUGCACACGAUCAUCAACACGAAUCUGAGAUUUGGACAAGCACUUCGUACACCUAGGAACAACGUCAACUGCUGAGUGCUGAAGAAGAGUCCUCUGAAGAACUUGAGGAUAAUGCUCAAACUGAACAAUCGUACCAGGCAGCUGUUUAUUUCAGCCUGCCCAUGCACACGAAUCUGAGAUUUGGACAAGCACUAUGUACACCUAGGAACAUCAACUGCAGAGUGCUGAAGAAGAGUCCCUAAAGAACUUGAGGAUAAUGCUAAACCUUUACACCAGGAAUCUGAAAAGUGAGGAGAUCCAGAAGGCACUUCCUACACAAACGAACAGCUGCAGAGUGCUGAAGAAGAAUCCCUAAAGAACUUGAUUAUAAUGCUCAAACUGAACCCUUAGACCAGGCAGCUGUUUAUUUCAGCCUGCCCAUACACGGGUCUGAGCUGGAAUCUGAGAUUUGGACAAGCACUUCGUACACCUACGAACAAUGUCAAGUGCUGAAGAAGAAUCCUUUGAAGAACUUGAUGAUAUUGACCAAACUGAACAAUCGUGCCUGGCAGUUGUUUAUUUCAGCCUGCCCAUGCACACGAUCAUCAACACGGUUCUGAGAUUUGGAGAAAUUCACUUCCUACACCUACGAACAACCUCAACUGCAGAGUGCUGAAGGAGAAUCCCUAAAGAACUGGAGGAUAAUGCUAAACCUUAACACCAGGAAUCUAAAAAGUGAGGAGAUCCAGAAGGCACUUCCUACACAAACAUCAAAACCAAGAUACUGAAGCCCAAGAAGAUUCCUGGAAAGCACAGAAGAACUGCCAAACCAGUCAUAUACAAAAUGAAUGAAUAAAUAUUUGAUUUCAAAUGAA